GACGAACGCUGGCGGCGUGCUUAACACAUGCCAGUCGAACGGAAAGGCCCUGCUUUUGUGGGGUGCUCGAGUGGCGAACGGGUGAGUAACACGUGAGUAACCUGCCCUUGACUUUGGGAUAACUUCAGGAAACUGGGGCUAAUACCGGAUAGGAGCUCCUGCUGCAUGGUGGGGGUUGGAAAGUUUCGGCGGUUGGGGAUGGACUCGCGGCUUAUCAGCUUGUUGGUGGGGUAGUGGCUUACCAAGGCUUUGACGGGUAGCCGGCCUGAGAGGGUGACCGGACGCUGUGGGGAGGAGACACGGCACAGACUGCGAGGGGAGGGAGGAUGGGGGAGUAGUGCCGAGGGGGGGGGGGACUGGCGGAGGCGGGCCGGGGGGGGGAUGGGCGACUUGGGGGGUUAGACUGGUUUGCGUGGGGAAGGGGGGUGGGGGACGGGAAGGGGAAAAGAAGAACAGGUUCACAACGUGCGAGGCGCGGCGGUAGUGAUGAAUAGAACACGUCUGAAC
Molecule: ribosomal RNA, 507 nt
Filed under: uncultured bacterium
Lineage: Bacteria
Description: partial 16S ribosomal RNA
Rfam family: Bacterial small subunit ribosomal RNA (bases 20-331)
Source: RNAcentral